UGUGGGAGCGAGCUUGCUCGCGAAAGCGGUGUUUCGGCUUGCAGAAAUGUUGACUGAACUACCGCCAUCGCGAGCAAGCUCGCUCCCACA
RNAcentral lists this unclassified non-coding RNA (90 nucleotides) under Pseudomonas brassicacearum. The record is from RNAcentral. Lineage: Bacteria; Pseudomonadati; Pseudomonadota; Gammaproteobacteria; Pseudomonadales; Pseudomonadaceae.